GAUGAACGCUGGCGGCGUGCCUAAUACAUGCAAGUCGAGCGAACGGACGAGAAGCUUGCUUCUCUGAUGUUAGCGGCGGACGGGUGAGUAACACGUGGAUAACCUACCUAUAAGACUGGGAUAACUUCGGGAAACCGGAGCUAAUACCGGAUAAUCUUUUGAACCGCAUGGUUCAAAAGUAAAAGACGGUCUUGCUGUCACUUAUAGAUGGAUCCGCGCUGCAUUAGCUAGUUGGUAAGGUAACGGCUUACCAAGGCAACGAUGCAUAGCCGACCUGAGAGGGGGAUCGGCCACAGUGGAACUGGGACACGGUCCAGACUCAUACGGGAGGCAGAAGUAGGGAAUCUUCCGAAAUGGGCGAAAGCCUGACGGAGAAACGCCGCGUGAGUGAUGAAGGUCUUCGGAUCGUAAAACUCUGUUAUUAGGGAAGAACAUAUGUGUAAGUAACUGUGCACAUCGUGACGGUACCGAAUCAGAAAGCCACGGCUAACUACGUG
This 497-nucleotide ribosomal RNA is filed under the name uncultured bacterium. Its description in RNAcentral is "partial 16S ribosomal RNA". It matches the Rfam family "Bacterial small subunit ribosomal RNA", at positions 28 to 507 of the family's 1533-position model. The record is from RNAcentral.